RNAcentral lists this ribosomal RNA (253 nucleotides) under uncultured bacterium. RNAcentral's name for it is "partial 16S ribosomal RNA". It matches the Rfam family "Bacterial small subunit ribosomal RNA", at positions 524 to 776 of the family's 1533-position model. The record is from RNAcentral.
GACAGAGGGGGCAAGCGUUGCUCGGAAUUACUGGGCGUAAAGGGCGUGUAGGCGGGAUGGCAAGUCGGUCGUGAAAUCCUUCGGCUCAACCGAAGAACGUCGAUCGAUACUGCUGUUCUUGAGGGUUGCAGAGGAGACUGGAAUUCCCGGUGUAGCGGUGAAAUGCGUAGAUAUCGUAAGGAAGACCAGUGGCGAAGGCGAGUCUCUGGACAGUUACUGACGCUGAGGCACGAAGGCCAGGGGAGCAAACGGG